Molecule: non-coding RNA, 73 nt
Organism: Cordylochernes scorpioides
Lineage: Eukaryota; Metazoa; Arthropoda; Arachnida; Pseudoscorpiones; Chernetidae
Source: the annotation of a GenBank genome assembly
UCCAGGGUAGCUUAGUGGACAUGGCAUCUGCCCGGUAAGCGGAACACUGUGGGUUCGAUUCCCAUCCCUGGAC